Molecule: ribosomal RNA, 1203 nt
Filed under: metagenome
Description: bacterial SSU rRNA
Rfam family: Bacterial small subunit ribosomal RNA
Source: RNAcentral
GGGCCCAGACACCUACGGGUGGCAGCAGUAGGGAAUAUUGGACAAUGGGCGAAAGCCUGAUCCAGCAAUGCCGCGUGAGUGACGAAGGAUUCCGGUCUGUAAAGCUCUUUUGUGAGGGAAGAAAUGACAUGUGAGGAAAUGCUCAUGUCUUGACGGUACCUCAUGAAUAAGGGACGGCUAACUCCGUGCCAGCAGCCGCGGUAAUACGGAGGUCCCAAGCGUUGUUCGGAAUUACUGGGCGUAAAGGGAGCGCAGGCGGACAGGUAAGUCUAAAGUGGAAUCCCGGGGCUCAACCUCGGAACUGCUUCGGAUACUGCCUGUCUUGAGUUCGUGAGAGGAAAGCGGAAUUCAGGGUGUAGCGGUGAAAUGCUUAGAUAUCCUGAGGAACACCAAUGGCGAAGGCAGCUUUCUGGCGCGAUACUGACGCUGAGGCUCGAAAGCGUGGGGAGCGAACGGGAUUAGAUACCCCGGUAGUCCACGCCGUAAACGUUGUGCGCUAGGUGUAGGAGGUAUCGACCCCUUCUGUGCCGCAGCUAACGCAUUAAGCGCACCGCCUGGGGAGUACGGUCGCAAGACUGAAACUCAAAGGAAUUGACGGGGGCCCGCACAAGCGGUGGAGCAUGUGGUUUAAUUCGAGGCAACGCGAAGAACCUUACCCAGACUUGACAUCCCAGGACAGCUUACGAAAGUAAGUCUUCCCUUCGGGGACCUGGAGACAGGUGUUGCAUGGCUGUCGUCAGCUCGUGUCGUGAGAUGUUGGGUUAAGUCCCGCAACGAGCGCAACCCCUAUUCUUAGUUACCAUCGGGUAAUGCCGGGCACUCUAAGAAGACCGCCGGUGAUAAACCGGAGGAGGGCGGGGACGACGUCAAGUCAUCAUGGCCCUUACGUCUGGGGCUACACACGUGCCACAAUGGCCGGUACAAUGGGCUGCAAUACCGCGAGGUGGAGCCAACCCCAAAAAACCGGUCUCAGUUCGGAUUGGAGUCUGCAACUCGACUCCAUGAAGCCGGAAUCGCUAGUAAUCGAGGAUCAGCUACGCCUCGGUGAAUACGUUCCCGGGCCUUGUACACACCGCCCGUCACAUGACCCGAGUCGGUUGCACCCGAAGUCACUGGCCUAACCCGCAAGGGAAGGAGGUGCCGAAGGUGUGAUUGGUGAGGGGGAUGAAGUCGUAACAAGGUAGCCGUAUCGAGGUGCGGCUG